This 468-nucleotide ribosomal RNA is filed under the name uncultured bacterium. RNAcentral's name for it is "partial 16S ribosomal RNA". It matches the Rfam family "Bacterial small subunit ribosomal RNA", at positions 28 to 523 of the family's 1533-position model. The record is from RNAcentral.
GAUGAACGCUGGCGGCGUGCCUAACACAUGCAAGUCGAGCGAUCUUCUUCGGAGGAGAGCGGCGGACGGGUGAGUAACGCGUGGGUAACCUGCCCUGUACACACGGAUAACAUACCGAAAGGUAUGCUAAUACGAGAUAAUAUACUUUUAUCGCAUGGUAGAAGUAUCAAAGCUCCGGCGGUACAGGAUGGACCCGCGUCUGAUUAGCUAGUUGGUAAGGUAACGGCUUACCAAGGCGACGACCAGUAGCCGACCUGAGAGGGUGAUCGGCCACAUUGGAACUGAGACACGAUCCAAACUCCUACGGGAGGCAGCAGUGGGGAAUAUGGCACAAUGGGCUAAAGCCUGAUGCAGCAACGCCGCGUGAGCGAUGAAGGCCUUCGGGUCGUAAAGCUCUGUCCUCAAGGAAGAUAAUGACGGUACUUGAGGAGGAAGCCCCGGCUAACUACGUGCCAGCAGCCGCGGUAA